GGCCUAAAAAUAUUCUAAAGUGCAAAUUUAGAUACGAAGUUGUUCUUCUUGG
This 52-nucleotide transfer RNA is filed under the name Agama impalearis. Its description in RNAcentral is "tRNA-Cys". Lineage: Eukaryota; Metazoa; Chordata; Lepidosauria; Squamata; Agamidae. The record is from RNAcentral.